CCUAUCAGAGACCAGAUAGACCUGGAUGAUAUCUGGUGGCCUGAAAAGACUGAGGGUCAGCCUUCUGCCGUCCACAUGUGCCCAAGGAUGCUAUCCACAUAUAUUUCAUAAAUAACCUGAAAUGAUCUCUAUCAUCAAAAUGUUUUGCAAUGUGUCAUAUACAUGGGUAAACAAAUACCACAGUGAUGGAGUUUGGGUGAUAUGAAGCCCAGAGAUCACAGCCAAAACACACACAAAUAACACUUGGAAGGACAAAGAAAUGACUUCACCAAAAAGACUGAAAAUCAAAGGAUGACAGAACAAUUCUAACAUCUGUGCUGAAUGCUUGGACAUUCUCCCUCAAAAGCUUUGCCCACAUCACAUGUUGUACCUUUUAGAAAUGACACAAUAAUAACAUUCUAUCCAUUCCAUCCUGCUGGGAUUAGUCCCAGCUAUAACCCUGUCUAACUGGUGACAAGAUCUGCCCAGUACAGAAUUCAAAGAUGCCAUUGUUAUGAUCCCUUUUAUAAAGGAACCUGCCUGGCUUCUCCCAUUGCAGAGUUGAGAGCAAAUCCAGAGCUUCUUCCAAGAUGCUACUGAUCCUGCUCUCAGUGGCCUUGCUGGCCCUGAGCUCGGUUCAAGCUUCAGUUUCUGAAAGCAGCAGUGAAGAGUCUCUGAGAACUGUAUUAGAUGAAACCAGCUCAGACUCAAGCUCGGAUGAGGAUGUUUUCAUACUAUCCCGUGGAAAACGCAGAGAACGCAGAGGACCACCACCUUCUCCUAAUGAUGAAAAUGAAGAUGAGGAAGCUCCACCAGGACCACCUCCACCAGGACCACCUCCACCAGGACCACCUCCACCGAGACCACCCCCACCAAGGGAUGAACCUCAGCCAAGUCCACCCUCACCAGAGGAGCAACCUGAGCAGAGUCCAGAUGAAGACUCACCAUCAGAGUAAUCUGAAAGUCAUUGUCAG
This 953-nucleotide long non-coding RNA is filed under the name Ovis aries (sheep). Its description in RNAcentral is "lncRNA (ENSOARG00000026052.1)". Lineage: Eukaryota; Metazoa; Chordata; Mammalia; Artiodactyla; Bovidae. The record is from RNAcentral.